This is a long non-coding RNA of Dromaius novaehollandiae (emu), 384 nucleotides long. RefSeq lists it as uncharacterized. NCBI's taxonomy places the organism in Eukaryota, Metazoa, Chordata, Aves, Casuariiformes, Dromaiidae. The transcript has 4 exons. The record is from RefSeq and is a predicted model, not a curated record.
UCGAUUGAGAGAACCAUCUAUCUGACGCCUGUUAAGCCAGCUUCUGUGGACAAAGAAAAUGGCGAGCUUGAAGGAAAAAAAAAGGCUGUUUCAGAUGCCAGUAGGCCUGAUGGAAUAACAAAAAGGACCUGACAAUGAAUACCUUUUAUCUUAAAGAGUGGAGAAACAGUGAAUAAAUACCCACUGAGAUCUGAGGCACAGGGGACCAGAAAGGAGAAAUCCAACUCAGACCAUUCAUCAAAACAUGGCUUAUAUGAGAUAGUCUAGCAAAAUGAAAAGUGGACCUCCUCCUACUGAACUCUGACAGCUAAGAGAGGAUGUUGAUGGAUGGCAACGGCAUUGCUAUAGGAAAAGUAAACGCUAACAGGAGACUGCAUGGCCAAC